CAAUAACUCCCGCAAUACGGAACCAAAGAUAGCACUUCAGUUGUACCAUUUGUAUCGAAUGUACCAGCACCAACACCAAUUAAAUUACAAAAUAUAGCCAUUAAAAAAGGACAAAAAAAAUGCUUUAAACGGAAACAAAAACAUGCAGAACAUUUGAUAUCAGCACCAGCAACAAAUUCACAUAAACGUGCACGUACAAAUGUUGAACCAUUUGUUAUUGAAGAUGAAAAUGGUGAUGAAUGUGAUGACAGUGCAAUUUCUAUUAGUGAUGAGUCGGUUGGAUGUGAAAGUGAUGGGUCAAUUGAUGAUAAAAAUGAUUAUUUAAUCAAAAAUGAUGUGUCUAAACAAGCAGCAGCAUUGCCAAUUAAAUCAUCAUCAGACAUUGAUAAAAGAAAAAAAUGAAAUGAAUUAUCAAAAAUAAUAUGUUGAUCAUAAUAUUUAUUAAUAAUAUUUUGAU
This is a long non-coding RNA of Aphidius gifuensis, 457 nucleotides long. RefSeq lists it as uncharacterized. The record is from RefSeq and is a predicted model, not a curated record. NCBI's taxonomy places the organism in Eukaryota, Metazoa, Arthropoda, Insecta, Hymenoptera, Braconidae. The transcript has 3 exons.